RNAcentral lists this ribosomal RNA (253 nucleotides) under uncultured bacterium. RNAcentral describes it as "partial 16S ribosomal RNA". It matches the Rfam family "Bacterial small subunit ribosomal RNA", at positions 524 to 776 of the family's 1533-position model. The record is from RNAcentral.
UACAGAGGGUGCGAGCGUUGUUCGGAAUUAUUGGGCGUAAAGGGUGCGUAGGUGGUUUGUUAAGUCCGUUGUGAAAUCCCUGGGCUCAACCUGGGAAUGGCAGUGGAUACUGGCAAGCUAGAGUGCGGUAGAGGGUAGUGGAAUUCCCGGUGUAGCAGUGAAAUGCGUAGAGAUCGGGAGGAACACCAGUGGCGAAGGCGGCUACCUGGACCAGCACUGACACUGAGGCACGAAAGCGUGGGGAGCAAACAGG